UAAUCCGACCUAGGGUCAUCUGAUAGCGCAAGGCCCGAAGGCCCCCUGCUUUCUCCCGUAGGACGUAUGCGGUAUUAGCGUUCCUUUCGAAACGUUGUCCCCCACUACCAGGCAGAUUCCUAGGCAUUACUCACCCGUCCGCCGCUGAAUUCAGGAGCAAGCUCCUGUCAUCCGCUCGACUUGCAUGUGUUAGGCCUGCCGCCAGCGUUCAAUCUGAGCCAGGAUCAAACUCU
RNAcentral lists this ribosomal RNA (233 nucleotides) under uncultured bacterium. RNAcentral's name for it is "partial 16S ribosomal RNA". The record is from RNAcentral.